UUUUUCCGACAGAACUCCAUUAUCUUCUUCACCAACAAAGCCGUUUAAUUUUGAUCUCCCAAAUCAUGUAACAACGAUAGUCGAAGGAAUUAGAGGAUUGAAUCUCAGUCAAUCAAGGAAUUAGGCGUUUAAUUUUGAUCUCCCAAAGCGUCUAAUUUUGCUAAACUUGAUCAAUUACAGAAUGCCGAGAGAAUUGGAUCUUCGAAAAUAAUAGAUUUGGUAAAGUGUACAGACAUGGGGUGAAAUUCUUCAUACAAUUUGCAGCUACAUAUGGUAUUUGGAAAACCGUUUGUCCUUGCCCAUGUUCUAGAUGUUUAAAUGGGGAUAGUCUCAUUAUUAAGGAAGUGCAGCAACAUUUGUACCUGUAUGGUAUCGACAAGACGUAUGUGACUUGGGUCUUUCAUGGUGAGAAGCGGCCGGGUAAUAAUGCGAUGAGUAUUCCAGUAGAGGAUGUGGCUAACGAUCAAAUUAUAGAAGAUGCAUUUCCAGAUUUGAGUCCUCUUAUUGAUGCUGCAUUUGAAGUUCAUGAAAGGAAUAGUGGUGGUGUUUGCGUAGAUGAUGUGAAUGGGACACAGGAUGGUGAUGAAGAUCCAUUUGAGUUUGAACCAGAUGCACAAAAGCGACAUGAAAAGUAUAAAAAAUUGGCUGAACAGAAAUUGUAUCCCACUUGUGAACGCAAGGUCAGUACACUCUCUGCGAUUGUGGAGCUGCAGAAUAUAAAGAAACAGUUUGGAAUUUCAGGUAAUUGUGUGACCAAAUUGCUGGAAAUGGUAAAAGGGUGGAUACCAGAAGAAAAUACGUUGCCCAGUAAAUACACGGAGAUGAAGUCGAUUAUGAUGGGUCUGGCGAAUUUUGCGACACCCUCUUACCCGUCUUAGAUUCUACUGGUAAGGAGGUCGCGGUGGAUGAAGUAGAAACACAAACGAAGUUCAUUCCAUGGUUGGUUGAAAAGAUGGAACCUGUUGAAGCUUCUAUAGAUACAUAUAAUGUUUGUACAGGCUAAAAAGGAAGGUUUAGCAGUUGAGGCUGCACGAGGGCUUGCUUGGAUGGAUGGACAUGUUGGAAAAGAUGGAACUGUCAAUAUUUCAGCUGUCGAGAAACACGAGCAAGUAAAGGCCGCUAGAGCUAAGAGGAAGGAGCUAAUCGAUGCAGGAUUGGUAUCCGCUUUAGACUUUGAGAAUGAUUAAAUUGCAGAAGUUUUUGGAACUGACAAUCGCAGAACUGGUUUGUUGGGCUAUUCUCCUCUUCUAUCAAAAAAGCAAGCCUUCUACGCAAGUGUUGCAACCGCAGUUAUGGCAGCAAAAACAACCUCAACCAGUAAUGCACCAAGGACCGACCUUAUGGACGAGGCUCUACUGCAAAAGCAUACCGAACUGAUUACCAAUGUGAGCUUUCAUUUACAAGUUCUAUUUUUAUUUUUUAUAUCUUGAAUGAUGAACUGGAUACUUUGUGAUUUUGUGUCUCAUGUGCUAGUACGUAACAUGUAGAGAAUAACCUUAACUUAUAUGUGUAGAGCUUGGAAAUUCUGAAUGUUACUUGAAUAUACCAGAAUUUGUUAAGUGUGGCUCCUUUUAAUCGGCACCAUCUUAUUGGCUCAUAGAAGUUUAAAACAAAGUGACGUGUAUUCUGAAUUUUACUUGAUGGCAGUCAAGUUGUUUAGGAAGGUUCUUUAGUCUUUUACAUAUAUUUUAGACUUUCAAGUUGUACAUUCAUCUAUGUCUAUGGCUAAUCACCGCAGGGCAUUUAACUUGGCUUGAUUUUGUCGAGUAUAAUUGCGACGGUGGUCUAAUAGUACACCGCAGGAAUGUAUUAGGUCGCUCCGAAGCAUUUGUCGCAGAAAUGAUUAUUUUGAGUUUGUCUAUUGUAUCAGUUUGUCUCUUGUUAUUAGUGUAAGAGAUCUGUUCACAUCAAUCUUAGCAUAAUUAGGAACGAAACACUUAUUUGGUUGAUAUAUAGUGCUGUGACGUCCCUAUUUUUCCUUUCCUUGGGAUAUCCUUUUGAUAUAAAUGCAAGAUGAAUGUUUACACAAAUGGCAAACAUAUAUAUAUUUUUUGUGGCCUCCGUUUCGAAGUGAGUAAUGCAAGCAGGCUUGACUUCUGGUAACUGUCAGUCCUGGUGAUCGGAAAUUAGAGGUCCGACUGCCGGGAAAUGGCAGGACCGGUGAUCGGAAAUGUCAGGUCCGAUUAUCGGAAAAGUGUCAUUUGUUACAUAUCAAAGGUAACAAAUUUUCUAACGAAAAUAGUGUUGGAAAAAUUCUGGAACCAAAAGACACAUGUUGUCUGUUUACUGGUAAUCUUAACAGUAAUAAAAAGGGUUAGCAAUGUUUAUAACGUAGUAUGUACAUUACAAAGUAAAUAUGAAGUGUAAAAUGUCAAUAGUUAGCAUAAAUAUUGUAAUGAAAUCAAAGUGUUAGCCAACUUAAUUUCCCUAAAGGAUUCAAAGAGUUGGCCAAAAUUCUCACACAUUAUAUAACUGCAUUCCAGUAACUAUUUAUUUUAGUUAGGGAAAUUAGCUUGUAUUUUUUUGUAAUGCUUUUUUGCUAUGAGCAAAUCCUUGAUUUGGUGUAGUAUAUCCACUGGAAAGGCAAGGUCCAUUAUCAAUUUGCAGCAACUCUUCAGAGGAGCAAAAUGUUUCUGUCACGUUUAUGGAGUAUGGGGAAUACUAGUGGAACUACAUGGCCUUUCAUUGAGUUACCUGAAACACCUGUCUCUACGAGUUGUAUAGAAGCAAAAUGCUUAAAAAUGUAGUGAUACUUUAUAAGCACCGCACUUUUGGGUUGCAGGUUCCUCUGUACAUGCCAGGAGAGCGUCAUGGCUUGUGAGAAAUUUUUAUAAGGCUGAUGGAAAUUCAAGUCAUGCUCACUAGGAUUCCAAGGGUGUUGAAGUUGGUGAUAUUUUUGCGGUUGGAAACUGUAACAAGCUAUGAUGCUCAGCUUGAUGGUGAAUAAAGUUUAAAUGGACUCAUGGUGGGUCAAAAUGCAAAUAUUUAUGGUCUUCUUGUGGUGGGUAUUCAAUUUGAUUUAUGGAUUGUGGUUCGCGUCAGCAGGAUCUAUAUGGGUUUUACCUCAUUUAUGUUGAACACAAUCUGGUACUACUACGGGACUAAUACAUUAACCGAAUUAGAAGUUUGUCGGCAGUUUACAGCAAUUCAAGUUUCACAUACGGAGCUCGAGCUACUUGCUUAUGAGGUGGUAAGGACUGUACAAGUCAAGAUCAUGGUACGACGGGAUAGGAAAUUCCAUAAUUCUACUUCCACUUUAGUUAAAAGAGGAGUCACACUUCUUCUGCACGAUACGAGAACUGUCAUCAAUCAAUGGUAUCUGAUUAUCACUACAGUGGGUUUAACUUCUCAUUUCGGUACAAAAAUGACUUAAUGAGAUAGUGGGAAGUAUAGCAUAUGGAGGCAUCACUACAAUCUGGACUACAGUGCAUUCUCGAAAUCAGUUGAGCUGAUAAGUACUUCAACCUCAAGCUCCGUUCUCACUCGCUGGCAUUUUUGUAAAUAAACCUCAACCUCAAGUCUGCCCAGCUACGCCUACGCCUUCCCAAAUUGAAGACAACCCUGUGACACGAUUCCUCGAGGACAAUGAUGUUUUGUAGGGGAAGAUAUUAUCAUGUACCUGGCUAUUGAGAGAAGGGUGCCUCAUCCCACUCGGUGUUAGUAGUUAGUGGUAGGCUUAUUAGUAAUAAGUAACUUAUUAAUGAGUGUCUUUAUCAUUUGUAAAGAGUGGUUUAGAUGUAACCAUCUGGUGGCAUUGGAGCCAUGGGAUCUAUUGAGUAGAGUCGAGCUUUACAAGCUCAAGUUCUGUAAUAGUCAGGGUUAAAAAAAUUAUAAUCAAAAGUAUCGAUUAGGCCGUGUUCCUUGUGAA
Long non-coding RNA from Papaver somniferum (opium poppy), 3868 nucleotides. RefSeq lists it as uncharacterized. The record is from RefSeq and is a predicted model, not a curated record. The transcript has 5 exons. Lineage: Eukaryota; Viridiplantae; Streptophyta; Magnoliopsida; Ranunculales; Papaveraceae.